UGCCCUGGGGUUGGAGUCACCCAAGCCUUUUGGAGCUUGCAACCAGAUUGCUUCAGAUGCUGAGUAUGAAACUCUAGGACUUAAUGUUUGUCCUGCUGGAUGUUGGACUUGCUUUGUUUCCAAUAAUUUAUAUUCCCCUAUUUUUAACUUAUGGAAUGGUAAUGUUUAUCUUGUGCCUUUGCAUUUCAGAAAUGUUUAACCUUGUUUCAUUUGUACAGGGGGGUUACAUUUAAGAGUUUGCCAUAGAUAUGGGAGGAGACUUGGGACUUGGACUUCUCAGCAGUGCUGAAACUGUUAGGACUUUAGCAGUUCUUGGAGACAGACUAAAUGUCUUUUGUAUAUAAGAUGUAUAUGAGUCCUGGGGGCCAGGGAUGGAAUGUCUUGGUUUAUGUCAGUGGCCUGUAGGCCUCAUGUGUUUGUAUUAUGUAUUUGUGAUUGGUUUAUUGUCUAGAGCUUGGAUUGAUGGUGUCAGUGCUACACCCACAUAAGGAUGGAGCCAGGAUGUGAUGUAAUGGCAGGAAGAAGGUGUGUCUUGCUCUCUUGCUGAUUUCGACCUUCCUGUUUGCAGCUGCCAUGAACUGUGGCCCUGCCAUGCCACCCUGCCUUGGAGCCAACUGAGUAUGGAUUAAAGCCUCCAAAAACUAUAAGAAAUAAACCUUUCCUUUCCCAACUUUGGACAUCAGGAUGAAGAUUGCCUAAAAAUCAUUGACAAUGAUUCUUUGGCCAGUACCAAAGAAUCAUGAGCUGGACCAAGUAAGCAUCAACUUGUCAUCUCCAGUAAUUAGAAGAGUUAGAAUCUUGCAACAGACUCAAAACACAAAAGCCAUUUACACCUAGAAGACAUCUUUAAGAAGCAGUCAUUUUCUAAGGGUUAUAAGCACCAGCAAUAAAGCUACUCACCAUAAGAAAUUUAUAAGAAUCAGCCUAGGAAUACAAAAUACACUUAAACAAUAUAUGGGGAGGGGUCACACACACUAGCCCAGCCCAGGUGGGACUCCAGUGAUUCAGCAAGGCCCAAGUGGAGGUACACUUGCUGGCCCAGCUCAGGCAGGCUCCCAGAGAUCCAGCAAGGCCCUGGUAGGGCACACAUAUGGGCAGGUAGGAUUGGUGGUGUGGAAAUGUCCAAAAAAAAAGUGAGAAUAUAAGCCAGCAGCUGGUAACUGACCAAUGUUGUUCUUUGGCACAGACACGUGUGGAACAGAAGCAGGUGGGCAGGCCACCACUUUUUACCAAAGGGCUUAGGGAGAACUCUAACAUAAAACCAUUCCCAGCUACCAUAUCCAGAGACCAAGAUCAGCCCUAUACCCAGCACAAAUCCCAAUGGAAACUUGACUCGAGUACACAGCACAGUUCUGGGAUCUGACUUGAACCAACUACAGAACUAUAGGCACCAAAGAUAUUUUAUUACUGUUAUUUUUCUCUGUUUGAUUUGUUUUCCUCUUUGUGUCUAGUUGAGUCUUUGGUUUUGUUUUGUCUUGUUUAGUGUUUUCGAGGUUAGAUUUGAUUUUUUAUCUUAUCUCUAUCUUUUAGUUUUUCUUUCAUAACUUAGAUUUCUUAUGUUUUUUUCUACUCAUCUUACGUCUCUCUUUCCUGAAGUAUUUUAUUUGAUUUUAUAAUAGAUUCAUGUGAGUAAAUAUUGUCUCUUCUCUUUCAACUUCAAUUCAAUACUCCUUUGCUUCCUCUUGCAUUUUUCCUCCUGUGCCUUCCAGUUUUCCAAAACUUGGAUGACCAUGCUCUGCUCUUGAACUUACUACAUUUGACCUCAUUUAUCUCUACCUUGUCCCUUGUACCUCUUAACCCCCACCUCUGCAACAGGUUAAAAUUAUACCAUUAAGAGGGAAAUCAUUGCGUGCAAAUUUCUGGUAUAUGCUGAAUUUUGUUAUAUAACUAUAGAAUUUACUUCUGUGGUUAAAGGUAUCAUGUUAACACAGAUUGUCAGCAGUCAGGCUGUGCUUGAGAAUAUUGUUAUUGUGAUCUGUACUACUUUAAACAGAAUGUCAUAAGCAGUUUUUCUUCUCUGUAUGACAACACUGUGAUUUUAUGGCAUCAUAACUAUCACAGCAGGUCAGUACCAAAGGACUGAGUACUGGGCCAAAUAGCAACUUCUUCCCCUUAAUACACUGGGAAGAUAGGUUCUAUAGACAAACACAAAGAACAAGAUCCACUUACAUCUAAAAGGCAUCCCUGGGAAACAGACAUUUCCUGGAGAAAUCUGGCUAAAGCUAUCUACCUUAAGAAAUCUACAAGCACCAACACAGAAAACAAACUAAAAUAAAAAAAUAGAAAAUGAUCAGAUACAGGAAACAAAACACAACGCCAUACUGCAGCCAACCCAGGACAAGUCCAGAGCACAAUGAGCUAGAGAAAAUUGGAAGUCAACCACUUGAACUUUUGGAAAUGAUAGCAACGAAGUGAAGAAAAAAAAAAAAAACAAAUAGAAGAGGCUAUAGAAAAAAAUCUUUAAGAAAUGAUUAUUAAACUGCAAGGCAUUAAGUCAAACACAGAUAAAAAAGCUAGAGAAGAUACAACCACAACUACAAACACACUAAACCACCUUAUCUUUGAUAAAGGGGCCAAACAUGAUCAUUGGAAGACCAACUUGUGUUCUGAGGAGUGUAGACUAGAUAGAAUUGCUCUUCAGGAACUGGAAAUAAGGGGAGUCUUAAGAGGCUGUAGGGCUGCCAUUUUUGCUUCCCUAUCAGCCUUUUGUCAUCCCAAGGAGACUUUAGGCAUGCCCCUUUGGUGCCCUUUACACUGCAUGACUACAACCUUCUUGAGAAGGUGGACUGCCUCUAGGAGUUGUAGAAUUUUCUGUUCGUGCUUUAUAGAUGGAUGGUUGCUAGUAAGCAUCCUUCUUUACAGAUUGCUGAAGGGACAUGCAGUGUGAGAAAGGUAUAUUUGGAGUCUGUAUAGAUAUUUAUCUUCUUGGAUAUUUCCUAAUAUCAGUGUCCAAGUGAGAACUAUUAACUCUACACUUUUGAGCAGAAGUCCCUAGGGGAGUUGUUUUGCUUCAGUGAUCAUUUGGAACUGUCAUAUUAUUUUCCUGCUUUGGAUUCCCUUUCUUUUCCCUCUGUAUAACUUCUUGCCUUGUGAGUGGGUUCAUUCUAUUGUUGAAUUCACAGAAUUGUGGUCUUAAUUGUAGUUUCCUAGACUACCCUUCAAAAAUUUUUGAAUGCUGGCUUGGUGGUCAUAAAUGUCUUCAGUUGUUCUUUAUCACAUGAGUAUCUUAUUCCUCCAUCCAUUUUGAAGGAUUUUUUUUCUAGGUAUAUCAAUCUAGGGUGGAGGUUGCUGUCUUUUAUGGCUUGAAAUACUUCACUCCAAACUCUCCUUUACUAAGGAGUUUGAAUUGAGAAAUUUGUUGUGAUUCUAAUGGGGUUUCCUUUAUAGGUAAUUUGUUUCUUUCCUCUAACAGCUUUUGAUAUUCUGUUAUUGUGUUGAACUUCUGGAAUCUUGACUCUUACAUGCCUUUGUGUAGUUUUUUCUUUCCUUCCUGAUCAUGGCUAAUUGGAGUUCUGUAUACCAUGUCCUUAAUUAUCUGUAUGUCAAAUUCUUUUUUCCAUGCUUAGGAAGUUUUCUGCCUCUACUUCAUGAACAGUCUCUUUGUAGUAUCUUCUAAUUGUUCAUUGAUUCAGGUCAGUUUUAUGUUGUUAUUCUUUGUAACAUCUAGCAGUUGUAUUGAUAUUUCAUAGCCCCUUGAUAUCUUUAGUAAGUCUUUCAUUCAAUGACUAUCCUCAAACCUAUUUCCUAGACCUUGGGCCUUCAAAGUGUCAUGUCAGAUCAGGAGUAAAGAAUCUCUGACUCAGGGUUCUUCAACCCUGGCAAUGGUUGCCAGGUGUUUGAGGAAAUAAAAGAGAAGGAAAUAAAAAUGGAAUGAGCUGCCUCUGUUUCUGUAAGUAAUCCAUUGAUUCAUCCAUGAUGUCUAAGAUUACUAGAGUUACUCACAAGAAAUGGUUAUGUCCAUGGACAGAGGCAUUAUAGGUCCCCUUGAUUCUCCUCAACUUUCAUCAGAGUUGGAAAUGAGGGCUCUGGCUGGCCUGUCCUCUCUUUGGCAGUGGGGACAAUCAAUCUUCCAUUGCCAUGAGUCAGGCACAUUGGCUGCCUCAUACUUGAAGCAGGGCCCAGGUGGUAGCUUGAUGCAGUUGUGUGCUCAGGGUCCAGUAUUCUUGCACUUAAAACAGGAACUCUUUCCAUGGCCAAGCUUGGCUUUCCCCUUCAGUGAUUUGUGUGUGUUUAAAGCUUUGCCAUGUGUGACAGCUAUUUUAUCCUUUCUCUUUUGUCUCUCUUCUGUAUCUUGAUUGUUGAACAUAGAAAGAACAUGUCUAGCAAUUGGGUCACAGGUGUCACAGGUGUCUGUGACCCUCUAAUAUUUUUGUAAUUUAUCUUAACUGAGGCUGAUUUACAAAUUAAUGAUGUCCCACCAGUGUCUCUUCCUCUCUGGAAGAUGAUGUUAUUAUGUUUACAAAAAACUUCUACUAAUCAGAGGAUUUUCCUCUUUGCCUGUAUGACCCUGUUCACCUUACCAUAGUUAACAGAUUUCUUAAUAUGCCUUUUCAUUCCCAUAGUAAGAGCAGCCAUCAUAUCAGACAUCAUUUUUAGUCCCUCAGUAGUAUUAUAUUAUCAGUUUGGUUCUGUUGAAGGAAGAAUAGACUCUCCAAGGUGCUUUUCUUUUCUCUUAAAGCAUAUUGCUCACUUGCAUAAUUCUUAGCACUUUGUGGCCAAAAUGAAUUAAACAUCUUGCUAUGAUAAGUCAAAAGCAAGGGUCAAAUUUGUCAAUUUUUUGGAUAUCUGAAAGUUGACCUAGCAAUUCUUUGCAUUCCUGGAUACCUGCAACAGAAAAAUGAACCUGGACUUGAGUAGUUCCCUUUGCUUUGGUGGUGUCUCUCAGGGGCAGGGUGAGUUAUGCAUUAGAGGAGUAAGAAACAUCACUUCAGGUAUGUGAUGGGGGGCAGAAACUAUCUUUGUGCAGCCAAAGCAGCUUAAGGCUGUCUGAGAAGCAUGACGGGGGGGGGGGGGCUGAGGAACAUUGGCAUCUUCCAUGACACUAAGUUCCAGUGGUGUCAUAAUUUAUGUCAGUGGCCUCCAAGCCUCAUGAAUUAUGGACUGGACCAAAUCUAGCAUUUGUGAUGGAUUCAUUGUCUAGCACUUGGAUUGGUGGUAUGAGUGUUUCACCCAUGUAGGAGUGGAGCCAGGAUAUGAUGUAGUAGCAGAAAGAAGGUGUAUCUUUCUCUUUUGCUGGUUCAUGCCUGUUUGCAGCUGGCCAUGAAUGGCAGCCCACCACACCAGCCUGCCACUUGGAGCCAACUGAGUAUGGACUGAAACCUCCAGGAACUGUAAGAAAUAAACCUUUCCUUCUUUCAUGUUGGGCAUCAGGUAUUUUGUCUCAGCAAUGAGUAUAACUAAAACAAGUCCAGUGUCUGAGUCACUGGAAGGAGAUGGGAUGGAUUUACUGGCCUGAGGAUUAGAAGGAAGAGACUGAAGAGACUUCCCGAUGUGGUUGUCUUCAUUAAGCAGAUGAGAGGAACCCGUAUCCCCUGAGAGACAGGUGGGGAUCCCAAGACAGGAUCAUUAAUGGUAUCUCCUUCUUCGCCAGAGGCCACUCUACCAUAGGACCUGGGCUUUUUAUAAGAUAAAAGCAUUUACAAAAGUCUGAACAUAAAGGAUUUCACUCUACUGUCUAUGUUUUAAGUAGAAACGAUUUCACUGAAAAGUAGUAUAAUUUAAACUCCAUCUCCUACUCAUCUCUUACCAUUUCUUAGUUCAUACAGAACUCAAACUUGUUGGGAGCCAUUGAAGUUGGAGACUGAUCAUACUGCAAGGCUGGAUCAUGAUCGUUCCAAGAACAAAGAGCACCUGGGGCAAACCACGUGAAGAAGCUGCUUCAGCCCAGAGAGCACCUGGCCCCAAGACAAUCUGAACAGUGGGUUGUUAGGACAAUGGGCUGUCAUGUGACAUUAAGUUGCUAAAAUGUAUAAAUAAACACCCCUUCAGUGAGGAGCCAGUACCUUUCCUCCCAUCAGGAGCUUACUAAAUCUUGUUCAGCGGAGCCGAGUCUUAAAACGUCGGUUGGUUACCGUGGAAAGCUUCCUAGUGUUUCAGCAAAACCCUCCGCGCCCACCUAGCGGUAGAAAUCGGAACUGCAGGCACCGCGCCGGUUCAGAGGCUCCAAGUUGCUUUGAGGGGGUAGCGGCUCUGGGUUCCCCCUAGUAGCUGCCGCUUCGCUGGGGCGGUUUUGCAGACCCAGGAAGCGCAGGUCGUGCAAGCCCGCCUCCGAAGCCGGUGUUCUGCACCCCUCAGGAAUGCCCUGCUCAUUCUCUUACUGAGUUGGCCUGUACAAGUCUCCAAGCUUGGGAAUUCAAUAAACAAAAUAAGACUUAAAACCUCUGUUACUACUGACAGAGUUUAUCUGGACUGAAAUGACAAAA
Long non-coding RNA from Cavia porcellus (domestic guinea pig), 6422 nucleotides. RefSeq lists it as uncharacterized. The transcript has 3 exons. Lineage: Eukaryota; Metazoa; Chordata; Mammalia; Rodentia; Caviidae. The record is from RefSeq and is a predicted model, not a curated record.